UCAGCUUAAAAUGAACAAAAUGUGACCUGUUCUUCAUUAAUAAGGAAAAAAUUAACUUCUGGAAAAACCUGAUUGCUUAUUUGGCAAAUUACAGAGAAGGUCAUUUAACCAGUUCCCAGCAUUGGCUAUGAGAUGAGGGACCCAGCCGGGAGGAUGGCUAAGCUGCUUCUGGCUUUCUGCUGCCUUGUGCCAAUAAAGGAAGGGCCUCCCUGAUGGUGCUCCUGGCCUUCAAAGCAAUCUCAUACUGAAAGCUGGUGCUUCAGUUACAUGCACUCAAAGGAGAAGAAUCUACUUUGAAUGGAAAGCUCCCGGGUAUUCCCACACCUUCUUUGUUUGUCUAAGGCCAUGGCUCUGCAGAGCUGCAAUAAACCUGCGUACCCACCCUGCAGAAGGACUGGGCCACAGCUAGCUUGUAAAACAAAACUAAGUCACCAAAUUUAUUUCCUUUAACACAGUCUCUUAGCAGAACCUUUCUAUGCUGACUGUGGCCUUGGCUCAAGCAACAGCAAUUGCAGCUCCUGCUGGUUCUACUAAGGAGGUAAAAAUAAAGGCGACUCGCUUUCAGAGCUUCGCUCUUGUGACCAGGCUGGAGUACAAUGGCACA
Homo sapiens (human) is the source of this 604-nucleotide long non-coding RNA. RefSeq lists it as uncharacterized. The transcript is spliced from 3 exons. The record is from RefSeq and is a predicted model, not a curated record. Lineage: Eukaryota; Metazoa; Chordata; Mammalia; Primates; Hominidae.